GAUGAACGCUGGCGGCGUGCCUAAUACAUGCAAGUCGAGCGAACAGACGAGGAGCUUGCUCCUCUGACGUUAGCGGCGGACGGGUCAGUAACACGUGGAUAACCUACCUAUAAGACCGGGAUAACUUCGGGAAACCGGAGCUACUACCGGAUGAUAUAUUGAACUGCAUGGUUCAAUAGUGAAAGACGGUUUUGCUGUCACUUAUAGAUGGAUCCGCGGCGCAUUAGCUAGUUGGUAAGGUAACGGCUUACCAAGGCAAGGAUGCGUAACCGACCUGAGAGGGUGAUCGGCCACACGGGAACUGAGACACGGCCCAGACUCCGACGGGAGGCAGCAGUAGGGAAUCUUCCGCAAGGGACGAAAGCCUGACAGAGCAACGCGGCGUGAGUGAUGAAGGUCUUCGGAUCGGAAAACUCUGUUAUUAGUGAAGAACAAAAGUGUAAGUAACUAUGCACGUCUUGACGGUACCUAAACAGAAAGCCACGGCUAACUACGUG
RNAcentral lists this ribosomal RNA (497 nucleotides) under uncultured bacterium. RNAcentral describes it as "partial 16S ribosomal RNA". It matches the Rfam family "Bacterial small subunit ribosomal RNA", at positions 28 to 507 of the family's 1533-position model. The record is from RNAcentral.